UGAGGAAUAUUGCACAAUGGGGGCAACCCUGAUGCAGCGACGCCGCGUGGGUGAUGAAGGUUUUCGGAUCGUAAAGCCCUUUUCUGCAUGACGAGCACAGGACGGUAGUGCAGGAAUAAGUGUCGGCUAACUACGUGCCAGCAGCCGCGGUAAAACGUAGGACACAAGCGUUAUCCGGAAUUACUGGGCGUAAAGGGCGUGCAGGCGGUUGCGUAAGUUAGGCGUGAAAGACUUCGGCUAAACCGGGGGAGGUCGUUUGAUACUGCGCAACUAGAGUAUGGUAGAGGCGUGUAGAAUUCCGGGUGUAGCGGUGAAAUGCGUAGAUAUCGGGAGGAACACCUGUGGCGAAGGCGGCCACCUGGUUGGAUACUGACGCUGAGACGCGAAAGCGUGGGGAGCAAACAGGAUUAGAUACCCCUGUAGUCCCUGAGCGGGCUGGCAAGGCGCAU
Molecule: ribosomal RNA, 449 nt
Filed under: uncultured bacterium
Lineage: Bacteria
Description: bacterial SSU rRNA
Rfam family: Bacterial small subunit ribosomal RNA
Source: RNAcentral